CCUACGGGGGGCAGCAGUGGGGAAUAUUGGACAAUGGGGGGAACCCUGAUCCAGCCAUGCCGCGUGUGUGAAGAAGGCCCUCGGGUUGUAAAGCACUUUCAGUGAGGAAGAACGCCUGGUGGUUAAUACCCAUCAGGAAAGACAUCACUCACAGAAGAAGCACCGGCUAACUCCGUGCCAGCAGCCGCGGUAAUACGGAGGGUGCGAGCGUUAAUCGGAGUUACUGGGCGUAAAGCGCGCGUAGGUGGCUUGAUAAGCCGGUUGUGAAAGCCCCGGGCUCAACCUGGGAACGGCAUCCGGAACUGUCAAGCUAGAGUGCAGGAGAGGAAGGUAGAAUUCCCGGUGUAGCGGUGAAAUGCGUAGAGAUCGGGAGGAAUACCAGUGGCGAAGGCGGCCUUCUGGACUGACACUGACACUGAGGUGCGAAAGCGUGGGUAGCAAACAGGAUUAGAUACCCCAGUAGUC
Molecule: ribosomal RNA, 465 nt
Filed under: Vreelandella stevensii
Lineage: Bacteria; Pseudomonadati; Pseudomonadota; Gammaproteobacteria; Oceanospirillales; Halomonadaceae
Description: partial 16S ribosomal RNA
Rfam family: Bacterial small subunit ribosomal RNA
Source: RNAcentral